RNAcentral lists this ribosomal RNA (253 nucleotides) under uncultured bacterium. Its description in RNAcentral is "partial 16S ribosomal RNA". It matches the Rfam family "Bacterial small subunit ribosomal RNA", at positions 524 to 776 of the family's 1533-position model. The record is from RNAcentral.
UACGAAGGGUCCAAGCGUUAUCCGGAUUUAUUGGGUUUAAAGGGUGCGUAGGCGGCUUAUUAAGUCAGUGGUGAAAGCCUGCAGCUUAACUGCAGAACUGCCAUUGAUACUGAUGAGCUUGAAUAUACUUGAGGUGGGCGGAAUGUGUCAUGUAGCGGUGAAAUGCUUAGAUAUGACACAGAGCACCGAUUGCGAAGGCAGCUCGCUAAAGUAUGAUUGACGCUGAGGCACGAAAGCGUGGGGAGCAAACAGG